This is a long non-coding RNA of Lycium barbarum (goji berry), 5188 nucleotides long. RefSeq lists it as uncharacterized. The transcript is spliced from 3 exons. NCBI's taxonomy places the organism in Eukaryota, Viridiplantae, Streptophyta, Magnoliopsida, Solanales, Solanaceae. The record is from RefSeq and is a predicted model, not a curated record.
UCAUGAUGGGUGACCCCCUGGGAAGUUUUCUAAUUUUUUUUUAAAAUUCAGAUGUGAGCAGCAGGUCAGGAGCUGGAGUAAUUCGAGAGAAAUUUAAUGUAUACGGAAUGGUUGGGAAACCAUACGAGGUCACAUAGAAUGCGACAGGCUAGACUAGAAAAGAAACAGAAAGUGCAGUGCAGUUUUGGAAUUUGGAUAAGUUUGAAUAGCGUCUGACGGUAAUUUGCGGGUCAGUUGAUACUAAUUAUAUGUGUAUAUGUAUAUGAACAUGAAUGGUAUCUCCUAUGUCAGGAUAUCGACGGAAAAUGAAAGGAAAACUUAUGAUAAGGAAUUUUGCUAUGUUGUGCACGGAGUUGAAAAGAAGAACUGUUGCCUUAUAAGGAGCCCCUUAAAGGGGGGGGGGGGGGGAGGCCAUAUUAGGCUUACAAGGAAUAACGAUGAACGAAAUGAGCGUCACCACAUGAAGUCAAAGACAAGUAUGCCUGUAUCGAGAGAUACGAGAAGAGACUAAGGAAGAGUUGUAGUAAGAAUCUAAAAGUCUGACUUUUGUUAAGAUACGGUCACGAAACAGUAACCGAAAAGAGAUGACCUGAGAAGGACAAGGAAAAUAUGUCGGCCCAGCGGAUUAGAAAACUCAUGGCACAGAAUAAGGACCCAUAUAAGGACGGAGAGACUCGAUUAUAUGAAAUGGGCAUGGAGAAACGGGCAACUAUAAAAGAAACCCCCUCCCGAAGUGCUACGAGUCCCCAAAAGGCCAGUUGAACAUUCGAGGACGAAUGUUCUAAAGGGGGGGGGGGGGGAGGAGGAUGUUAUAGCCCGUAUUUUGUAUGUUUGGAUAAUUCAGAGUCGUCGUGGGAAGUUAAGGGCGAAACCAAUUUCAAAAUUAUAUUAAUGCACAAGUUGUUAUAAAUAUUAUUUAUGACUGUUAUUAGUAUGGAAAUAUUGUGAGAGGCUAAGGAUAAGGAAUUUGCAAAAUGGCCAAUGAAACUAAUGUGGAAGGUCAGGGGCAAAAUAGUAAUAUUGAGAAAAGUCGAGGGGCAAAAUGGGAAUUUUACAAAAGUUUCAUGAAAAUUCCAAAAAAAAAAAAAAAAAAAAGAAGGAUGACAAAUAAGUCAUCCUUGCUAUAAAUUGAAGAAAUUUCUAGAAAAGAAGAAAGAAAAAUAAAAUAAGAUAGGCAUGUGCCAUGCACAUGAUCUCUUAAUAAAUAUGGCACAUGGAAGAAAAUUCAUCAUAUGCCUUGAGAAAGUUCAUGAAAACUCGAGAGAAGGGAAAGAACAAGGAGAGAAACAAAGGACCAAUUUCGGCCAUGGUCUCCAAUUUUUGUCUCUUGAAAGUUUGUCCCAAAAAUUAUUUUCUUGUUGUAUUCCUACCAAUUCAAGGGUCCUCUACAACAUGGUGGAGUUGUUUUGGAAGAUGGAGGGCUUGUUUCAUCAAUUUGACACCUUAGCCAAGUGAAGGAGUUUGGAAGAAAAGGUAAGAAUUCAAUCUUCUUUUAUGUAUUAUGGAUGCUUGUGGAUGUUGUGGUGUGUAGAAAUUCAUGGAAAUCAUGAAAAUAAUGUGUGUUGUAAGUAAGGCCGUGUGGUGGUGUUGGGCCGUGUGUAUGUUGUGAUGAAAGUCAUGAAUUAAUGUUAAUUAGCAUGUUUUGAAUGUUGUAGUGUGAAGAAAAGAAUGAAAAUUUUCCUUAGGUGUGUGUUGGGUGUGGGACGAAUGGCCCCUCUUGGUGUGUUGAAAAAUAAACAAAUUGUCGUUAGCGUUUUAGUUGCCGUCGUUACGAAUUCUAUGAUGAGAAGUGCAAAUUUAGUGACUCAAAAUAAUGUUAUGUUGGUUGUGGGAUGAUUUUGGAAUUUAUGUGAAUUUUAUGUAAUUUUUGUAUUUAGGAGAAUUGUAUUGUUAAUGUGUGGGGUAAUGGUAUAAGUUAUGAAUUUGGAAGAGAAGAAUGUGUUUGGUGUAGUUCUCGGAUUUGGAGGCAAUUUCGGGAGAGUUGGAGCCUUGUUUGAGUUGUUUGAAAUAUUGUGUGAAUUGAAUUUGAUAUUGAAGUGUUGCUAGGAUAAUUGUUGGUAUUGUUGAUAGAUUGGCUGGGUUGUAUUCCCGGAUUACUGUUGGUGUUGAUUUGGGCCGAGCCAUAUUUUCGGGUUGGUACAUUUACAGGGGAGAUGCUGCCGAAAUUUCGGCAGAAUAUAAAUGAAUAUAUUGAAAGGGUGAGGCAAGUACUUGACGAAGGAACUAAUGAAUGGAUGAACUCUCUUGAAUGUAGAUUAACAAGUUGGAGGCACAAGUGUAACUAGUUGGUCGCGGCGCAGGUAUGUAAGGCUUACCCUUUCUUUCUUUGGCAUGUCCUAGAGCCAAGUAAGGUAUAAUGUGAUAUGCUGCCUUGGGGUAACUCUGUUCUGUGGUGCUGAGUCUGAUUAUGAUUCUAAUUCACUUUGUGACCUGAGUUUGUGAUCCUAGUUCAUCCCUUGAUAUAAGUAUUUGAUAUAAGUAUUUUGAUAUAAGUAUGUUGGUACAAGUAUUCUGAUAUACGUAUUUUGAUAUAAGUAUUCUGAUAUAAGUAUUUUGAUAUAAGUGUCUUGAUAUAAGCAUUUUGAUAUCAGUCUUCUGAUAUAAGUGUGUCGAUAUGAGUAUUUUGAUAUAAGUAUUCUGAUGUAAGUAUGCUGAUAUAAGUAUUCCGAUAUAAGUAUCCUCAUAUGAGAAUUCCGAAAUCUGUAUCCUGAUAAGAGCAUUCUGAUAUGUUUAUUCGGGUUCGAGAACUUCUGUAAGAUUUAAUGUCCCUAACUCCCGUAUACGAUCUCGGAUUGCUCUGAAAUGUUCGAAGAGGUUUCUGUAUCAAGACGGCUAUAACUUUCUUAUACGUAAGUAUGGUUUCAAAAUCUCUAUUUGAUCUGAUUCGUAAGGACAUCUGAAGGUGUCUGAUGUGACUAUGAUUCUGAUUCCCCGAAAAAAGGCUUCUGAAACGCUUAUAAAGCGUUCUGUACUUCGAACGCUCGUAACUUUCUCAUACUACGCCGGAUUGACCUGAAAUCUGUUCCGAGCCUCCACGUAUCGGUAAGUACACUGGUCUGUCGAGUAUUGAUUUCUAUGCAUGUGGUUUCUCACUACUCUGCUCGUGCAUGUGCUAUGAUCCCUUUCACCGGAUCCCGGGCCGGUAUGUAUCGUGCGGAUGGUUCGCCGAGUCCUCUGUUGAGGGCUGGGUUCCAUAUAUGAAUUCCGAAGUAUGAUGUGUCCGGUUCCGGGGUACUGUGUUAUAUGUCCGUCCCCGGUUACCGAGGAUAUAUAUUAUGAAGUAUGAUGUGUCCGGGCUCGGGGUGUCGUGUUAUCUGUCCGCCCCCGGGUACCGUGGUUAUGUUAUGAUGUGUGACGGAGAUCGGAGCAAAUUUUCUGAAAUAUGAUGUGUUGUGGCGCCCAAGGGUAGGAGUGGCGACCACGUUCCUAUGUUAUCGUGCGCAUCCCUUGGCAUUGUUCACCGGUUCCUCGGCGUGUUACCUGUUCCCGAGGUUACCAUGUAAAUGAUAGGAUGUGACCGGUCCCUCGGCGUGUUAUUUGUCCCCGAGGUUACCGUGUGUAUGAUAUGGUAUUUGUCCCGGCGUGGUAUAUGUCCCCGGGGUUACCGCGUAUGUGAUAUAAUAUCUGAUCCCGAUAUGCAUGACUUGUGUUGGAGAGUAAGCAUUCUGACCUUCCGUAUAUUCUGUAUUCCGUUAGCUAUAUGACAUCAUCUGAGUAAUCUGUACGUUCUGUAUUCCGUCUGAUAUAUGACAUCCUCUGAGUAAUCUGUACGUUCUGUAUCCCGCCCGAUAUAUGGCAUCAUUCGAGUGUUCUGUACGUUCUGUAUUCCGUCCGAUAUGUGACAUCAUCGGAGCAAUCAGUACGUUCUGUACUCAGUCUGACGUAUGACAUUAUCUGUGCGUUCUGUACGUGCCACACUCCUUCUGAUAUCUGAUAACGGUAUGUAUGAUCUGUGUCUGGAAAGUGAGUAUGUCAGCAUUCCAUACGCUCUGUAUGAUUUGUACGGUCUGUAUGAUCCGUAUUGGUCUGUACGAUCUGUGUCGGCCUGCAUGAUCUGUAUUGGUCUGUAUGAUCUGUGUCUGAGAAGUAAGUAAUUCGGCAAUCUGGAUAAUAUGCUUACCCUUUGUACUAUUUGUUUCGAUUAUGGUUCUGCUUUCUGUAUUUCAUGCCUUACAUACUCAGUACAUAUUCCGUACUGACCCCCUAUUCUUCGGGGGCUGCGUUUCAUGCCGCGCAGGUACUCCCAGAUGAGUUGAAGAUAUUAUAGAAGAUGUUCCAGCGAAGAUGGCAAACUCCAUUUGCUCCUGGAGUGCUGCUGAGUCAGAGUACCCGGAGACACAUCCCGAAGACGACACUCGGAAGGAACCCGAAGACUUCAUCGAAUCCUUAUACACUUUUAUACUUACGAGUUAGAAGAACCGGGAAGUUGCAAACUAUCUUGGACCCGUUCAAAAUAGGGCGUAACAUGAAGGUGAUCAAUAGCUCAACAUAUUUAGGAAGGAACUGUGUGGUCUCUCUUUGAAGAUAAAGAUUCCAACAAUACAGGAGAUAAUGUUGCUAGGGAUAGAAUAAAAUUCAUUUCACCAGAAUUCUUUUUCACACGUGAUCUUCAACAGAAUAGUGAAACUGAUGUUCAACAAAUUCGGCCAAAUGGUAAUUUGGCGGAUGUAUUUACCAAGACAUUGCCAACAUCAAUAUUCAGAAGUUGAUCUGCAUGAUUCAAAUAUGCCCUUGCCGAGAUAAAAAUGAUGUUCUCGUCAGGGGGAGUGAAAUACGCGCUGCACUCUUUUUCCCUUAACCAAGGUUUUGUCCCAAUUGGGUUUUCCUGGUAAGGUUUUUAAUGAGGCAGCUCUCAAUGCGUAUCACAAAAUGUAUGUACUCUUUUUCCUUCGCUAGGAUUUUUCCUACUGGGUUUUCCUAGUAAGAUUUUAACGAGCAGCAAGCAAUACGUAUUAUGAAUAACUGUGUACUUUUUAGAUUUUCAUUCGAAUUUUUCUUUUACAUGGACAUCCAAGAGGGAGUGUUGUAAAUAAAUUAGUGUGGAUGCCAUGUCCAUGUAUUGUAGCACUAUGAUCUCUCCAAGUCUUUGAGGUUAUAAAUAGCCUCUUUCAUUUAUGAAAGAAGACACCCAAAAAAUAGAAAGAAUUAUUAUACUACACUUGCUACUUUCCCUCUUUCUCUCUGUGUG